CCUACGGGUGGCAGCAGUGGGGAAUAUUGCACAAUGGGGGAAACCCUGAUGCAGCGACGCCGCGUGAGUGAAGAAGUAUCUCUGUAUGUAAAGCCCUAUCAGCAGGGAAGAUAAUGACGGUACCUGAGUAAGAAUCCCCGGCUAACUACGUUCCAGCCGCCGCGGUAAUACGUAGGGGGCAAGCGUUAUCCGGAUUUACUGGGUGUAAAGGGAGCGUAGACGGCAUGGCAAGUCUGAAGUGAAAGCUCGGGGCUCAACCGCGGGACUGCUUUGGAAACUGUUAAGCUGGAGUGCAGGAGAGGUAAGUGGAAUUCGUAGUGUAGCGGUGAAAUGCGUAGAUAUUAGGAGGAACACCAGUGGCGAAGGCAGCUUACUGGACUGUAACUGACGUUGAGGCUCGAAAGCGUGGGGAGCGAACAGGAUUAGAUACCCGAGUAGUC
RNAcentral lists this ribosomal RNA (440 nucleotides) under uncultured bacterium. RNAcentral's name for it is "partial 16S ribosomal RNA". It matches the Rfam family "Bacterial small subunit ribosomal RNA", at positions 338 to 795 of the family's 1533-position model. The record is from RNAcentral.